Molecule: long non-coding RNA, 1253 nt
Organism: Gymnogyps californianus (California condor)
Lineage: Eukaryota; Metazoa; Chordata; Aves; Accipitriformes; Cathartidae
Exons: 3
Source: RefSeq, a predicted model, not a curated record
UCUGAGGCUCUAAAUUUUCCGUUUUUUUCCUGGCAGAUACUUUUUCCUGUGUUGUGAUGUUCAAGAGCCAUAGCCGUGCCCUGGAAUGCAGAGGAAAAUCAGUUUAUCCCUCCUCAUCUCACUAGAAACUGAACUGCUGAAGGGGGCAAAAUUCCAAGCUGGGUUUUCUACCUUUACUAGUUGAGGAUCUGUGCUACAUAGUGGUCCAAAGCCCAUGCCUUGUAGAGAUGAGACUGAGACUAGUACAAAACUGGAAACGUGUAUUGCUGCUGUGAUCGGUAGAAGCUGUGUGGAUGUGGCUUUUGCACACAGGAAACUGAACCAGACCACGCCUGUAGCACGAAGUUCAUCAUCUGAUUCCUGACAGGGACCCACACCAGAAGCUUUGGAGAAAGGGAAAGCUUGUUCCAGCUCCCCAGAUCCGUGACAGAUACUGCCUUCACUUCAAGCAAGCUGUUCCAGUCAGUCUGUAACACCACCAAACUGACUACAGAUUUCAUCAUUGGGCAGUAAAAUACCCAAGGACCCGACCCCCGUGAGCUGCUGAAUCCAUUUUAAGAAGUUGGGCCGAUCAUCAGGGAGUGAGUUGGUAACUACAGACCCGAUUGCAGAGCUGGAGUCUGCUCUGCGCUUCCCAACGCAUCCUUCGUGAAUCACCGUUUCUCUCGCUUUGAUUGUAACUCUUUAGGACAAAAAACCCGAGCCUGCACAAGGAACAGCAAUAGCCAGGCUAUCAGUAAUGAAGCACAGAGAGCUUCAGCUGGAAGUACGCAAGGCAUGAGCCAUGGAAGCCUCAGGCCCCUGCUGCAGCCGGGAGAAAGACUUUUAACUUCCAUUAUUCAGUAUCACGCAGGGUUAGGUUGCACGUUAUCACUUGCAUGCACAAAUGCCCAGUAUAAAUAAAUAUUGCCUAUUUGCGUGUACAAACUAAGUGUGUCCUGAAGUUAUAUGCAUACAGACAGUCAUGUCCUCAACCAAAGACCAGUUUGAGAUCCUCUGGGACAUACAGCUCCCUGCCAUCCGCAACGGAAGCCUUGAAGCUUAUUUCCAGGUGCUGCAUCCAGUGCCAAGCAAGACGGAAGAGCCACAGUUGGCGUGUAGAUAAUGCGACAUUUCAGUCGGAUCAGAUGAAGAACCUUACUGUCGCUGGGGAAAGCUCAUUUGUUGCUCAACAGUGAAGAAUAAAUCAGGCCUCCUAUAGUGCAUUUUACCUCUAAAGUACUCCGUAAGAAGAUGACUAUUAUUACUUUUUC